GUUUCUGUGGCGCAAUCGGUUAGCGCGUUCGGCUGUUAACCGAAAUGUUGGUUGUUCAAGCCCACCCAGGGACG
This 74-nucleotide transfer RNA is filed under the name Saccoglossus kowalevskii. Its description in RNAcentral is "tRNA-Asn". It matches the Rfam family "tRNA". Rfam says of the family: Transfer RNA (tRNA) molecules are approximately 80 nucleotides in length. Their secondary structure includes four short double-helical elements and three loops (D, anti-codon, and T loops). Lineage: Eukaryota; Metazoa; Hemichordata; Enteropneusta; Harrimaniidae. The record is from RNAcentral.